CUGCUAGGCUACUGAUCCUCCACAGAGUUCCACUCCAGUCCUACUCCUGGUUGUUAAAGCCCCACAUACUGAAGCCCAGGAUCUCUGAACUGUGGGAACUUCAGACAUCGCUGAAUUCCUCCAAUGACUUCGGUCCAGGAUUCAGGCGCCUAAUCUGGGCCUGGCGCUUGCCAGGCCAGCUUCCCUGCCAUUCUUUGCAAGAACUGUGUGUACAGCAUCGGACUUACUUUCCCAGAAGUGCUUCUGGAACCAGAGUCCACACAAAGGGGCUGUUAAAUGUGCUUUCCUCCUUUUGGCCCAGCUGGCUCCUGAGCUUCAGGUCACACAGAGCUCACAGUUCCUAUCGACUUUUCCCAAAGGAUCCCUGGGCUCCUGCAGGAGCCAGCCCGUCCCUGGGGCAGGAAGUUCUGUUUACUCUGUCUUGGAGCCAGGUGCUCAUCCAUAAAAGGGAAACGAGUCCUUUAGGAAAAGGGCUGGGUGCUUGGAAAUUCUUUAAAAGUGAAAGCCCCAAGGCUGCUGUCUGUUGUUCUGUACUUCGGCUUGAUACAGUUUUUCUGUACAUAAAAGCACAGGCCGUGGGGAUUGGCUGAAGGGUACAUCUAAGAAACAACAUCUAAUAAACAAAAAGUGUGGAGAGAAUGCCGCGGGAACUCUCAACACUGCGCAACUGGGCCAAA
This 677-nucleotide long non-coding RNA is filed under the name Rattus norvegicus (Norway rat). RNAcentral's name for it is "long non-coding RNA NONRATT023024". The record is from RNAcentral. Lineage: Eukaryota; Metazoa; Chordata; Mammalia; Rodentia; Muridae.